RNAcentral lists this ribosomal RNA (527 nucleotides) under Oeneis tarpeja. RNAcentral's name for it is "partial 16S rRNA". Lineage: Eukaryota; Metazoa; Arthropoda; Insecta; Lepidoptera; Nymphalidae. The record is from RNAcentral.
CUCAGAUCAUGUAAGAUUUUAAUGAUCGAACAGAUCAAAAUUUUAAACUUUUGCAUUUAAAUUUUAUCUUAAUCCAACAUCGAGGUCGCAAACUUUUUUUUUUAUUUGAACUAAAAAAAAAUAUUACGCUGUUAUCCCUAAGGUAAUUUUUUCUUAUAAUCAUUAAUAAUGGAUCAUUUAAUCAUUUAUUUAUGUUUAAUUUUUAAAAAAAGUUCAUUAAAUUUUUCUAUCGCCCCAAUAUAAUAAUUAAUUUUAUUUUAAUAAAAAAUUUAAUAUAACUUUAAAAUAAAAAUAAAUAUAAAACUCUAUAGGGUCUUCUCGUCUUUUAAAAUUAUUUUAGCUUUUUAACUAAAAAAUAAAUUUCUAAAAAUAAAUAAGAGACAGUUUAUAUUUCAUCAAAUCUUUCAUACAAGUUUUCAAUUAAAAAACUAUUGAUUAUGCUACCUUUGUACAGUCAUUAUACUGCAGCCCUUUAAUAAUUAUCAGUGGGCAGAUUAGACUUUAAAUUAUAAUCAAAAAGACAUGUU